This 468-nucleotide ribosomal RNA is filed under the name uncultured bacterium. Its description in RNAcentral is "partial 16S ribosomal RNA". It matches the Rfam family "Bacterial small subunit ribosomal RNA", at positions 28 to 507 of the family's 1533-position model. The record is from RNAcentral.
GACGAACGCUGGCGGCGUGCUUAACACAUGCAAGUCGAACGGAAAGGCCCUGCUUUUGUGGGGUGCUCGAGUGGCGAACUGGUGAGUAACACGUGAGUAACCUGCCCUUGACUUUGGGAUAACUUCAGGAAACUGGGGCUAAUACCGGAUAGGAGCUCCUGCUGCAUGGUGGGGGUUGGAAAGUUUCGGCGGUUGGGGAUGUACUCGCGGCUUAUCAGCUUGUUGGUGGGGUAGUGACUUACCAAGGCUUUGACGGGUAGCCGGCCUGAGAGGGUGACCGGACAAAUUGGGACUGAGAUACGGCCCAGACUCCUACGGGAGGCAGCAGUGGGGAAUAUUGCACAAUGGGAGGAAGCCUGAUGCAGCGACGCCGCGUGCGGGAUGACGGCCUUCGGGUUGUAAACCGCUUUCGCCUGUGACGAAGCGUGAGUGACGGUAAUGGGUAAAGAAGCACCGGCUAACUACGUG